This 417-nucleotide ribosomal RNA is filed under the name uncultured bacterium. Its description in RNAcentral is "bacterial SSU rRNA". It matches the Rfam family "Bacterial small subunit ribosomal RNA", at positions 29 to 489 of the family's 1533-position model. The record is from RNAcentral.
AACGAACGCUGGCGGCAUGCCUAACACAUGCAAGUCGAACGAGGCCCUUCGGGGUUUAGUGGCGCACGGGUGCGUAACGCGUGGGAAUCUGCCCUUUGGUUCGGAAUAACAGCUGGAAACGGCUGCUAAUACCGGAUGAUGACGAAAGUCCAAAGAUUUAUCGCCAGAGGAUGAGCCCGCGUUGGAUUAGGUAGUUGGUGGGGUAAAGGCCUACCAAGCCGACGAUCCAUAGCUGGUCUGAGAGGAUGAUCAGCCACACUGGGACUGAGACACGGCCCAGACUCCUACUUGAGGCAGCAGUGGGGAAUAUUGGACAAUGGGCGCAAGCCUGAUCCAGCAAUGCCGCGUGAGUGAUGAAGGCCCUAGGGUUGUGAAGCUCUUUUACCCGGGAAGAUAAUGACUGUACCGGGAGAAUAA